Long non-coding RNA from Bombus impatiens (common eastern bumble bee), 324 nucleotides. RefSeq lists it as uncharacterized. The transcript is spliced from 3 exons. Lineage: Eukaryota; Metazoa; Arthropoda; Insecta; Hymenoptera; Apidae. The record is from RefSeq and is a predicted model, not a curated record.
AGAGCGACUCGUGCUAUUGUUUUGCCUCCGGACAUUGACUUAGCCUUGACGCAUGAAACAUAACGACAAAUAAACUCCGGGCAAAAACAACGUCACCGCUGCAUGCAACCGUCGAAUCAAGACGAAUUUCAAUUUUCCGACUCUCCCCGGCCAGUAUAAACAAACGAACACGAUCGCGAACGACAGUACAUAUCGUGUAUCUAACAGCAUCGAGAGUAUUUCCGAGUAUCUUACGAGCGUCUAUCAAGUUAUGCGACGAGUCUUUACGAGUAUUUAUUCCGCGAUUUUAUUUUGCGAUUUAUAUUUCUGACUAACUAAAACAAA